This 411-nucleotide ribosomal RNA is filed under the name uncultured microorganism. RNAcentral's name for it is "bacterial SSU rRNA". It matches the Rfam family "Archaeal small subunit ribosomal RNA", at positions 330 to 745 of the family's 1478-position model. The record is from RNAcentral.
GCGCAGCAGGCGAGAAACCUCCGCAAUACACGAAAGUGCGACGGGGUUACCCAAAGUGUCCAAAUUUGGACUGUGGUAGGUGAGUAAUGUCCCCUACUAGAAAGGAGAGGGCAAGGCUGGUGCCAGCCGCCGCGGUAAAACCAGCCCUUCAAGUGGUCGGGAUAAUUAUUGGGCUUAAAAGUGUCCGUAGCCGGUUUAGUAAGUUCCUGGUAAAAUCGGGUAGCUUAAACUAUCUGUAUGCUAGGAAUACUGCUAUACUAGAGGGCGGGAGAGGUCUGAGGUACUACAGGGGUAGGGGUGAAAUCCUGUAAUCCUUGUAGGACCACCAGUGGCGAAGGCGUCAGACUGGAAUGCGCCUGACGGUGAGGGACGAAAGCCAGGGGAGCGAACCGGAUUAGAUACCCGUGUAGU